GAUGAACGCUGGCGGCGUGCCUAAUACAUGCAAGUCGAGCGAACGGACGAGAAGCUUGCUUUUCUGAUGUUAGCGGCGGACGGGUGAGUAACACGUGGAUAACCUACCUAUAAGACUGGGAUAACUUCGGGAAACCGGAGCUAAUACCGGAUAAUAUUUUGAACCGCAUGGUUCAAAAGUGAAAGCCGGUCUUGCUGUCACUUAUAGAUGGAUCCGCGCUGCAUUAGCUAGUUGGUAAGGUAACGGCUUACCAAGGCAACGAUGCAUAGCCGACCUGAGAGGGUGAUCGGCCACACUGGAACUGAGACACGGUCCAGACUCCUACGGGAGGCAGCAGUAGGGAAUCUUCCGCAAUGGGCGAAAGCCUGACGGAGCAACGCCGCGUGAGUGAUGAAGGUCUUCGGAUCGUAAAACUCUGUUAUUAGGGAAGAACAUAUGUGUAAGUAACUGUGCACAUCUUGACGGUACCUAAUCAGAAAGCCACGGCUAACUACGUG
This 497-nucleotide ribosomal RNA is filed under the name uncultured bacterium. RNAcentral describes it as "partial 16S ribosomal RNA". It matches the Rfam family "Bacterial small subunit ribosomal RNA", at positions 28 to 507 of the family's 1533-position model. The record is from RNAcentral.